CAGCUGCAUUUAAUUAGUUGGAUUGAAUCUAAACUCUGCAGGGCUGUGGCCCUCCAGGAACUGAGUUUGACACCCCUGCCCUAAACUAACUAACCAGCACUGUUUCUCUACAACUUUAGGGAAAUAUGAAGCAAAAAUCACAGUAAUUUGGCCACUACAAUCUAGUAUUUGCUGUGACAUCCAGCUCUGUUUCAUCCCCUUCAAAUGACCGACAAUCUAUUCUCAACAGCAGCAUGCAGGACAAAGCGGACAAGGAAUAAAACGGAGAAUUUGGCACCAUCUAGUGGUUGGAAAGAGAAUGGCAGCAGCGCCGCCACUGCCAGCACUGCUGCUUAUCUGAGCCUAAUCUCAAUACUCAGCCAAAAAUACACACAACCAGGCUGCCAGGAGGCUCGAAGUGCAAGCGAGAUCUGACUUACAUCAGGUACCGGAUCACAGAGGAGUUGUUUUUAAAAAUGCUAGUCACUAGAAAAAAGUAGUUAAAUAUGUCAAAUAAUUUGAAUAAAUAGAAGCUACUUUGCAGGAGAACAGGGGAGGAUGAGACACCAGCAGAUGGAGCUGGCAGCACUGACUGAUUAAAAUAACUCAAAUUACCAUCUUAUAAAAUGGUAAUGAUUGUCAAUUGCAAGAGACCCAGAGGUUAUGAUGAGCGCUUAAAUACAGUGUUUACAUCUUGCUGAGAAAUGGAGGUGUUCAGUAAUGAUGUGUAUGUGCAGGCCAACCAGGAAGACUAAUUCACCAUGGGUUUCCUUAGGAACUUCCUGUGGGCUUUAAGAAUGGCAGUUUUGGAUUUAUAAUUAAAAUAAGGUCUGUAGUUUCGAGACUUUUACAUUUCAUCAUACAACAUACACUACUGUUCAAACUUUUGGAGCUGGUAAGAACUUUUGAUGAUUUUGAAAUUAGUCUUUCAUGCUCACCAUAAAAAUACAGUAA
This is a long non-coding RNA of Sinocyclocheilus anshuiensis, 933 nucleotides long. RefSeq lists it as uncharacterized. The transcript is spliced from 2 exons. The record is from RefSeq and is a predicted model, not a curated record. NCBI's taxonomy places the organism in Eukaryota, Metazoa, Chordata, Actinopteri, Cypriniformes, Cyprinidae.